Molecule: ribosomal RNA, 250 nt
Filed under: uncultured Blastococcus sp.
Lineage: Bacteria; Bacillati; Actinomycetota; Actinomycetes; Geodermatophilales; Geodermatophilaceae
Description: partial 16S ribosomal RNA
Rfam family: Bacterial small subunit ribosomal RNA
Source: RNAcentral
UACGUAGGGUGCAAGAGUUGUCCGGAAUUAUUGGGCGUAAAGAGCUCGUAGGCGGUUCGUCACGUCGGCUGUGAAAACCUGAGGCUCAACCUCAGGCCUGCAGUCGAUACGGGCGGACUUGAGUACUGCAGGGGAGACUGGAAUUCCUGGUGUAGCGGUGAAAUGCGCAGAUAUCAGGAGGAACACCGGUGGCGAAGGCGGGUCUCUGGGCAGUAACUGACGCUGAGGAGCGAAAGCGUGGGGAGCGAAC